This 1188-nucleotide long non-coding RNA is filed under the name Amphibalanus amphitrite. RNAcentral describes it as "uncharacterized LOC122366115". Lineage: Eukaryota; Metazoa; Arthropoda; Thecostraca; Balanomorpha; Balanidae. The record is from RNAcentral.
GACUGUUGAGUAGCGCCGCGGCCCGGUAGCCGAACCGUCGCUUGCCUGUCUCGAGCCGCGAGCGUGGGAGGUGGAGAAGGUGGUCUUGCCGGGUGGACCUCUUUCGCGCGUCACUGUUAUAAGUGAACAUAGUAGCUAGUUCUUCGGGCUCGCCGUUCCUUAUUAUUUUCUGAGCAGUUACGAGGGUUUGAAUAUCGGCCAUAGCUUUCGGAGGUAUCCAUCCAAGCGAGUCGCGGAGGCCAGAGACGUGGUCGAAUUUACGGCGGCCGAAGAUGACCCGUGCUGCGAAGUUCAUAAUUUUUUGGAGCCGGUCAAAGUUUUUCCGGGAGCCAUUUCCGUAGACAGUGAGGCAGUACUGGACGCGCGAGAUGACAAGUGCCGUCACGAUCGUUUUGAGGAUGCCGUCUGGGAGACAGUGUCGUGCGUGGGAGAGGCCGAUCAGUACGCCCAUGCAACGACGGCUCAGCUCGGCUACGUGUGCCUCCCAGGGACACGCUCUGCGUGUGACCAUGGAGAUAAGCAGAAAACCAGGAGGUCUCAAUGCCGUACAUUUCAAGUUUUUUGACAAGGAGUUCAUGAUUGAUGACGUCGAAACAUUUGCUGAGAUCUAUGAGGCACAGCAUUGAGAUCUCACCCCUAUCGGUGGCGGCAAGGAUGCUAUCUGUGACUGACAGCAGUGCAGUCUCAGUGGAGUGCCGAGGGCGGAAUCCGUGUUGGGUAGACGAAAGAAGGUGGUUUUGGGAGAGGUAGUGAUAGAGCUGCCGAUGGAUUACACGCUCGAUGAUUUUCAUGAUAACGGGAACUAGGGAGAUCGGUCUGAAAUUGCUGGGGUCAGAUGGGUUGCCAGACUUGAAGAUGGGUUGGACGAUAGAGUGUUUCCAGGAGUUAGGUAUGUCGGAACGGGUGAUUGAGGUGUUUAUGAUGUGCAAAAUAACGUCGCCAAUGGUUUGGAAGCAAGUUUUUAACAUCCGGAUACAUAUAGCGUCGGUGCCACGCGCGGCGGAGUUUCGCAUGCUGAACACUGUGUGUCCGAGUUCCCCGAGAGUGAUGGCUCUCGGCUUAAAAUAGCAUGCGCCGACUCGGGGGAGACGUACGUUUAGGUCAGUAUUGAUGUUCUGGGUGCUCAAUUCGGUGGCGAUCCGGGGCCCGACAGAAACGAAGAAGGAGUUCAGGUCGUCGGGAGAUAGG